Abrus precatorius (Indian licorice) is the source of this 104-nucleotide small nucleolar RNA. NCBI's taxonomy places the organism in Eukaryota, Viridiplantae, Streptophyta, Magnoliopsida, Fabales, Fabaceae. The record is from RefSeq and is a predicted model, not a curated record.
AUGCAAUGAUGAGGACAUCUUAGUAGAUCCUUAUAUCUUUCCUAUGCAUUAUAAAGAGAUUCACCAUCUUAUUGAACAAAAGAGGUGAUUUCACUUUGCAACUU